Molecule: ribosomal RNA, 103 nt
Filed under: Cyclemys oldhamii (Oldham's leaf turtle)
Lineage: Eukaryota; Metazoa; Chordata; Testudines; Geoemydidae
Description: Cyclemys oldhami (Oldham's leaf turtle) partial 16S ribosomal RNA
Source: RNAcentral
GCACAAUCUAGCUCAACUAAAAACAAAAACAAAACAAACAAAAUUAUCUUACCAUAAACCAAUCAAAACAUUUCCACCAUCUUAGUAUGGGCGAUAGAAAAGA